AGCGCUUGAAGAUGCCACUGUCUAGUACUUGUAUUAAGUGUUCUUGUUUGAUUAAUGAGAGUAUAAACUGCUUACGAAGCUUGUGUGUGGGUUUUGCAGCAAGCAGCUUGUUGGUUGUAAGUAUUAAUUUGUCUAUUUUGUGUCCUUAAUUCAGCAGUAAAAUUUUAAUGAGUUGUAUCUUUCAGAUAGCGCUUGAAGAUGACACUGUCUGGUACUUGUAUAAAGUGUUCGUGAUUUAUUAAUGAGAGUAUAAACUUUUUCAGCCUGCAUGCGAGGGAAUCACAUACACAAUUGCCCUGCUUUUUCUCGCCUCAAGCUUUAGGCUGCCCAGCAGCGUAAAGGUGAGAGAAGAGGGAACAGGGUGUCUUUAUUCAUUUCUCAGUGCUUUGCGUUAGUACUUUCUAGAAAUUAGUUGGCAGCUUAUUUACAAUUCACUUAUGUGGUAAGUAUUAUAAGCUAGUAGUAGGCGAAACUUAAUAUAAGUGUUUAUUAAUAAAGUUUGAAUUUUACAAAUAAUUGAGUGUUUUCUUUUUUAUAUACAUAUAUAUAUCUAUCUAGUAAAGUUGUAGUUAUUUAUACAGAUUUAAUUUGGUGGGGAAGAGUAAAGACUAAGUCAGAUUUUCUUCGUUAAAUUCAAUUUAGAUUACUAUUCUUUAAAUUCAAUUUGGAUUACUAUUCUUUAAAUUUAAUUUGGAUUACUAUUCUUAAAUAUAAUUACAUUUAGCUGGUUUGUUAGUUGUAUUGUUGAUUUGAUAACUCUAGGGGCGUCAUCAGUCGCUGUCAUCCAGUCUUCAGUGGCCCGGAGGGGAAGACAGAAGAAGGCGCUGCUGUCGAUGCUCUUAUUUGUAGCUAUGUCCAGGUUGUAAGUACUCCGUGGAUCCAGGAGAGAGGCUAGUCUGAGACUUGCUAUUUAUUCAUAGGCACCCUUUAUUUUCUGGCUUUUGCUUACUUUGUUUCUUUCCAUAGUGUUCGUCUUUAUUUAGAAUUUCUUAUAUCGUGAUUGUUUAUUUAUUUGCUUUGCUUGAUUUUUUUUUGAGAUUUUUAUUUAUUGUUGGUUUUAUUAGUAAGAAUAUUAAUUUAUUAUUAGCUUGCUAUGGGCUUUAACUUUGUUUAUAUUUAAGUUUUUGGAUUUAUUAUUAUUAUUUAUUUAUUUUUUGUUUGUUAGAUUUGACUGCAAGAUUCACUCAGUAGCGUGUAUAGCGAGGUGGGUAUAUUAUUGAAAUAUCGUGUAUUAGUUAUAAGUUUAUUUAUUUGUUUUGUCUAUCCAUUUUAACAUUUGUUUUAUUUAUUAAUUUAUUGUUAAGUGUUUUUAUUAUUUGCUUUGUUAAAUCGAUUAUUUAUUUAUAAUUAUGGUUGUUUAGCGUAUUUAUUUUGUUUUUACUUAGGGUUUUGCACUUUUAUUAGAAAGUUUUGUUGCGAGUGUUGCAUAUGUAAUUAGAAGUUUAGCCCGUUUUGUUUUGUUGCUUGUGUUUUUAGUCUUUAUUUGCAGCAGGAAUUAGUUGAGGCGGCCAUGUUGUAAGAUUGGUAAGUACAUAUUUGUUUUCAUCGUUUACUUGCAUAUUUAUUAUAUUAAGUAUCAUUAAAAGUUGUCGGCAGGAGUAGUUCAACUGCAUGUAUUGCGGUGAUUUAUUUAUUGGAGUAGUUCAACUGCAUGUAUUGCGAUGAUUUAUUUUAUUGGAUCGUAGAAUUAUUUGUGUUCGCGCGCGGUAUUUGUUAAAUUUGUGCUAGCGUAGCUUGCGCGUCAAUUUAUCUUUGAGUAGGGUUGCUUACUUUAUCAUUAUCGAGUUUUAGUAUUUUGUACAAUUUUAUCGUUAUCGAAUUUUAAACAUUUUGUGUAUUUUCAGCUUUGUUCUUAUUUGGUGGUUGGAUUCGUUUGGUAAGUAGUUUCAAUUUAUUAGGAUUCAGGAAUUAAUUAUUGUUUGGUGGCACCAGAGAGGACAGCCAAGUUGAUGAUGGAUGGGUAAGUAUGUGCUUAUAUAUGUAGCAAAAGGACUGGCUUUAUUAUUAUAAAUCUUUUUAUUUCCAGAUAAGACGUGGAAAGUUACCAAGUCUGAUUUUAUAGUAUAUAAAUAGGUUAUUUGUUAUUCUUAGGUUAUUGUUUUGUUUGUAGAAUUGUCAUUAGUUUAUUGUUUUGCUUGUUUCCCUUAGUCUGAGUUAUUGUUUGUUUAGACUUUGUUUCAUUUAGUGAAUUUUAGUCUUUUAGGAAUAUUUGUCUUGUUAUUUAGUGUAGUAGUUUAAGUUUAAGAUUGCAUUUGCCUGGGGUAAUUUGAGUUUUAAUAUAUGGCGCAGAGUAUUUGUUUCCUUUGUGGCUAUCGAAUUUUGACAAAUAGCGUACUUUAGGAUGUGUUCGUACUAGGUGUUUAUGUUUGGAUUAUAUUAAGUUUAUUUAUUAUACGCAGGUAGCUAAGUUGUUAUUUAAUAGGUCUUUUAUAAUUUAUAUAUUUUUAUUUUUAUUUUAUUUUAUUUGUUUAUUUAUUUUAUUUAUUUAUUCUUAUUUUUUGUGAGCAAUACGUGCGAGGGUGGGUAUCAAAGUUGCUUCCUUUUGUUUCUUGUUGAAGAUUACUGCUUUGUCAGCUUCUUUUCCUUGCUUAGACUUGUCUUGUCUUCAGUAUUAGCGUUUGAUUUAGUGUUUGGUUGUUAUGUGCUAUAUAUAUUUAUUGUUUGAUUUUUAUUUUUAUUUUUUUAUCUGAUUGUUGUUUUAUUAGUUAUAUUAUUAUUAUUAGUUAGUUAUAGUGUAAUUACUAGUUAGUUGUAUUGUAUUAUAUUAUUAGAUAUUUAGAAUUGCAUUAAUAUGUUGGGGAUGUCAAAUAGUUUACCAGUUUUUAUCGUUUAGGAGGCUUGUAGUUUGUAUUUGUGAGGAAUAUUGUAUAAUAUUGUUAUUAUUAGUUAGUUAUAGUGAAAUUAUGUUAUUCUAGUUAUUUUUUUUAUU
Long non-coding RNA from Drosophila mojavensis, 2929 nucleotides. RefSeq lists it as uncharacterized. Lineage: Eukaryota; Metazoa; Arthropoda; Insecta; Diptera; Drosophilidae. The record is from RefSeq and is a predicted model, not a curated record. The transcript has 3 exons.